ACAAGUUGCAAUUCUCUUAACUGUAAAUUUUACUUUUCCAAAUUUUCGUCUCCUUUACAAUUUUUAAAUAAGGACUCGACUGAUCUUCGUCUUUACCAGGUUUCCCUCUCAACAUUUUCUGACGUUGCAUUCUUCUUUUAAUAAUUUACACGUCACAAUCCGCACCUUCGAGAGUUUUUAUUUUAUCUCAAUUGUCCCAAUUUAUCAAACUAAGUCGGCAAUUCUAUAUUAAAUAAAAUUUUCUUCCGCUAAAUUGAAACGUGCGAAAAAGAGACAGAUCCUGUGAAUAUCUUCGCUAAUUAAUUAGAAGAUAUUAUAAAUUAACGAUCCAACAAUCUUCAGUAACUAAUCAAUAAGAUUUAAAAAGUGAUAGAUAAACACUAUGAUAUGAAAAUGUGUAUCGAGUCAGUUAUGUGAGUCGAAUAUCGAGUUUCUGUUCAAUUAGUGAAACAAGUAUACAUUGCGUAACGUGAUGAUGACCAGUCGUCGUAAACGAGAUUGUAACAAAAAAUUCUUUGUGCUCUGACGUAAUACUGACGUUUACUUUCGCUCUGAACAAAAGAUUACCUUGCCAGACGUUUCAACGUAGACACAGAGUAUAUAGGUUUUCGUAAAUUUUAAAAUCGCUCUGCCUUCCUUUUAACGCGCGUUACGAUACGAAUGAAAUUUUCAUCUAACGCUUGAAUCUCACUGGAACGACGAUUAAAUACAUCAGCGAUAGAUGAAAUAAUAUUACGAGGUGAAAUGUAACGCGAAAAAGCACAUGGUGAGAGAAUGGUUUUUUAGUUGCACGAAUUUCGUUGAAGCACACUCGACAGGAUCGUCCUCGUCAUAAAAGUUCAUUAAAAUUUGCAAAUUCCGGCGAGACUGUUCUCUCGACGAGACGAUUGCAUCGUGUUAGUCGAUUAUUUGGAAAAUAUAUU
Bombus terrestris (buff-tailed bumblebee) is the source of this 923-nucleotide long non-coding RNA. RefSeq lists it as uncharacterized. NCBI's taxonomy places the organism in Eukaryota, Metazoa, Arthropoda, Insecta, Hymenoptera, Apidae. The record is from RefSeq and is a predicted model, not a curated record. The transcript is spliced from 4 exons.